UACGGAGGGUGCAAGCGUUGCUCGGAAUCACCGGGCGUAAAGCGACCGCAGGCGGUCUGACAAGUCGGAUGUGAAAGCCCUGGGCUCAACUCAGGAACAGCAUUCGAAACUGGCAGACUCGAGUACGGGAGAGGGGGGUGGAAUUCCUGGUGUAGGGGUGAAAUUCGUUGAUAUCAGGAGGAACACCGGCGGCGAAGGCGGCCCCCUGGCCCGCAACUGACGCUCAUGGUCGAAAGCGUGGGGAGCAAACAGG
This 253-nucleotide ribosomal RNA is filed under the name uncultured bacterium. RNAcentral describes it as "partial 16S ribosomal RNA". It matches the Rfam family "Bacterial small subunit ribosomal RNA", at positions 524 to 776 of the family's 1533-position model. The record is from RNAcentral.